RNAcentral lists this ribosomal RNA (159 nucleotides) under Physcia sp. 2 KL-2008. Its description in RNAcentral is "5.8S ribosomal RNA". It matches the Rfam family "5.8S ribosomal RNA". Rfam says of the family: 5.8S ribosomal RNA (5.8S rRNA) is a component of the large subunit of the eukaryotic ribosome. Lineage: Eukaryota; Fungi; Ascomycota; Lecanoromycetes; Caliciales; Physciaceae. The record is from RNAcentral.
AAAAACUUUCAACAACGGAUCUCUUGGUUCUGGCAUCGAUGAAGAACGCAGCGAAAUGCGAUAAGUAAUGUGAAUUGCAGAAUUCCGUGAAUCAUCGAAUCUUUGAACGCACAUUGCGCCCUUUGGUAUUCCGAAGGGCAUGCCUGUUCGAGCGUCAUU